GGCGCGGGCGCGCGGAUCGAGCUGCGCGAGCGCCGCCUGCUGCGCCGCGUCGCCGGCGAGCGAAGGCGCAUACACGCGGAUCGUCUCCCAGUCGCGCAA
RNAcentral lists this transfer RNA (99 nucleotides) under Burkholderia contaminans. RNAcentral's name for it is "tRNA-Ser". The record is from RNAcentral. Lineage: Bacteria; Pseudomonadati; Pseudomonadota; Betaproteobacteria; Burkholderiales; Burkholderiaceae.